UAGUCUGCAUGUGACUGUUCAUUGAUGGUAGGGCCUGCUCAAUGCCCUAAGGGGUAAAUAGCCGCUGUAUUUUGACGGUGCUAAGGUAGCGAAAUUCCUAGCCUCUUAAUUAGAGGCCUGCAUGAAUGGCUUGACGAGCGCCCUUCUGUCUCUUUUUUGUGAAAUUUGAAAUUAUCUUUUGUGUGAAAAGUCACGGAUUACUGAGAAAGACGAAAAGACCCUGUGCAACUUUACUAAAGAUUUGGUUUAGCUGGGGCAGCAAGGGAAAAGAUAAAAUUUCCAUUCAUAUAUUUAAUACCGGUGAGUUUAGAUCCGAAAUAGUGAUCGUUCAAUAGAAAAGUUACGCCAGGGAUAACAGCGUUAUCCCUCUGUGGAGGCCUUAUCUGCAGGGGGGAUUGCGACCUCGAUGUUGAAUUAGGGAUAUAGCGGAAGGGCGUAGCGGCUCUUUUUGUAGGUCUGUUCGACCUUUAAAACCCUACGUGAUCUGAGUUCAGACC
Molecule: ribosomal RNA, 497 nt
Filed under: Atrina sp. SL-2014
Lineage: Eukaryota; Metazoa; Mollusca; Bivalvia; Pterioida; Pinnidae
Description: partial 16S ribosomal RNA
Rfam family: Bacterial large subunit ribosomal RNA
Source: RNAcentral